AAUCAUUGAAGUUCGGCUAAGAACGCCACUUCCUGUGGCAACACCGAACUGACCUGCAUCCUGCAGG
RNAcentral lists this small RNA (67 nucleotides) under Salibacterium qingdaonense. RNAcentral's name for it is "Bacillus qingdaonensis Bacillaceae-1 RNA". It matches the Rfam family "Bacillaceae-1 RNA". The record is from Rfam by way of RNAcentral. Lineage: Bacteria; Bacillati; Bacillota; Bacilli; Caryophanales; Bacillaceae.